RNAcentral lists this ribosomal RNA (438 nucleotides) under uncultured bacterium. Its description in RNAcentral is "bacterial SSU rRNA". It matches the Rfam family "Bacterial small subunit ribosomal RNA", at positions 28 to 510 of the family's 1533-position model. The record is from RNAcentral.
GACGAACGCUGGCGGCGUGCUUAACACAUGCAAGUCGAACGGGCGUAGCAAUACGUCAGUGGCAGACGGGUGAGUAACGCGUGGGAACGUACCUUUUGGUUCGGAACAACCCAGGGAAACUUGGGCUAAUACCGGAUAAGCCCUUACGGGGAAAGAUUUAUCGCCGAAAGAUCGGCCCGCGUCUGAUUAGCUAGUUGGUGUGGUAACGGCGCACCAAGGCGACGAUCAGUAGCUGGUCUGAGAGGAUGAUCAGCCUCACUGGGACUGAGACACGGCCCAGACUCCUACGGGAGGCAGCAGUGGGGAAUAUUGGACAAUGGGCGGCAAGCCUGAUCCAGCCAUGCCGCGUGGGUGAUGAAGGCCCUAGGGUUGUAAAGCCCUUUCGGCGGGAAGAUAAUGACGGUACCCGCAGAAGAAGCCCCGGCUAACUUCGUGCCA